This 492-nucleotide ribosomal RNA is filed under the name uncultured bacterium. RNAcentral's name for it is "partial 16S ribosomal RNA". It matches the Rfam family "Bacterial small subunit ribosomal RNA", at positions 29 to 507 of the family's 1533-position model. The record is from RNAcentral.
AGUGAACGCUGGCGGUAGGCCUAACACAUGCAAGUCGAACGGCAGCACAGUAAGAGCUUGCUCUUACGGGUGGCGAGUGGCGGACGGGUGAGGAAUACAUCGGAAUCUACUUUUUCGUGGGGGAUAACGUAGGGAAACUUACGCUAAUACCGCAUACGACCUACGGGUGAAAGCAGGGGAUCUUCGGACCUUGCGCGAUUGAAUGAGCCGAUGUCGGAUUAGCUAGUUGGCGGGGUAAAGGCCCACCAAGGCGACGAUCCGUAGCUGGUCUGAGAGGAUGAGAAGCCGCAGUGGAAGUGAGAGACGGUCAAGACUCAUACGGGAGGCAGCAGUGGGGAAUAGUGGAGAAUGGGAGCGAGCCUGAUCCAACCAAAACGCGUAGGUGAAAGAGGCAUUCGGGUUGUAAAGGCAUUUUGUUGGGAAAGAAAAGCAGCAGGUGAAAAACCCGCUGAUGUGACGGUACCAAAAGAAUAAGCACCGGCUAACUUCGUG